AGCGUUGUCCGGAAUUAUUGGGCGUAAAGAGCUCGUAGGCGGUUUGUCGCGUCUGCUGUGAAAUCCCGAGGCUCAACCUCGGGUCUGCAGUGGGUACGGGCAGACUAGAGUGCGGUAGGGGAGAUUGGAAUUCCUGGUGUAGCGGUGGAAUGCGCAGAUAUCAGGAGGAACACCGAUGGCGAAGGCAGAUCUCUGGGCCGCUACUGACGCUGAGGAGCGAAAGGGUGGGGAGCAAACAGGCUUAGAUACCCUGGUAGUCCACCCCGUAAACGUUGGGCGCUAGAUGUGGGGACCAUUCCACGGUUUCCGUGUCGUAGCUAACGCAUUAAGCGCCCCGCCUGGGGAGUACGGCCGCAAGGCUAAAACUCAAAGGAAUUGACGGGGGCCCGCACAAGCGGCGGAGCAUGCGGAUUAAUUCGAUGCAACGCGAAGAACCUUACCAAGGCUUGACAUAUACGAGAACGGGCCAGAAAUGGUCAACUCUUUGGACACUCGUAAACAGGUGGUGCAUGGUUGUCGUCAGCUCGUGUCGUGAGAUGUUGGGUUAAGUCCCGCAACGAGCGCAACCCUCGUUCUAUGUUGCCAGCACGUAAUGGUGGGAACUCAUGGGAUACUGCCGGGGUCAACUCGGAGGAAGGUGGGGACGACGUCAAAUCAUCAUGCCCCUUAUGUCUUGGGCUUCACGCAUGCUACAAUGGCCAGUACAAAGGGCUGCAAUACCGUAAGGUGGAGCGAAUCCCAAAAAGCUGGUCCCAGUUCGGAUUGAGGUCUGCAACUCGACCUCAUGAAGUCGGAGUCGCUAGUAAUCGCAGAUCAGCAACGCUGCGGUGAAUACGUUCCCGGGCCU
This 847-nucleotide ribosomal RNA is filed under the name Plantibacter sp. Its description in RNAcentral is "bacterial SSU rRNA". It matches the Rfam family "Bacterial small subunit ribosomal RNA", at positions 537 to 1381 of the family's 1533-position model. Lineage: Bacteria; Bacillati; Actinomycetota; Actinomycetes; Micrococcales; Microbacteriaceae. The record is from RNAcentral.